RNAcentral lists this ribosomal RNA (351 nucleotides) under uncultured bacterium. RNAcentral describes it as "bacterial SSU rRNA". It matches the Rfam family "Bacterial small subunit ribosomal RNA", at positions 29 to 399 of the family's 1533-position model. The record is from RNAcentral.
AACGAACGCUGGCGGCAUGCCUAACACAUGCAAGUCGAACGGGAUCCUAGCUUGCUAGGUGAGAGUGGCGGACGGGUGAGUAACACGUGGGAAUCUGCCUUUUUGGUUCGGGAUAACCGCGGGAAACUGCGGCUAAUACCGAAUGCCCUCGAGAGAGGAAAGAUUUAUCGCCAGAAGAGGAGCCCGCGUCCGAUUAGGUAGUUGGUGGGGUAAAGGCCUACCAAGCCGACGAUCGGUAGCUGGUCUGAGAGGAUGAUCAGCCACACUGGGACUGAGAUACGGCCCAGACUCCUACGGGAGGCAGCAGUGGGGAAUAUGGACAAGUGGGGCAACCCUGAUCCAGCAAUGCCG